Neofelis nebulosa (Clouded leopard) is the source of this 2161-nucleotide long non-coding RNA. RefSeq lists it as uncharacterized. The transcript is spliced from 2 exons. The record is from RefSeq and is a predicted model, not a curated record. Lineage: Eukaryota; Metazoa; Chordata; Mammalia; Carnivora; Felidae.
UACCGUCCUCCUCUGGAGCUCUCGAGAGUCUGGGACUUUGGAGUCGCUCCCACAGAGGCAAGUCUCAGGAUCCCGUGUGGGGACAUCUCUGUGCCUGUCGUAGCUUAUCUAACCACGGGCUUUGGGGAAGCCUUGCCCAUGUGCUGAGAGCUGGCGCAUACACGAGGAGACUGUGUGUGUGUGUGUGUGUGUGUGUGUGUGUGCGCGCGUGUGUGUGUGACAGCGACAUCUCCAGCCAGCACGAGACGGAGAGCCUCAGGAAAAAUCACCUGUUCGUUUUCCACCGUGUCUCGUCUGUCUCUGGCCCAGUGCUUGGCUCGGGCGUGGCCUGCGAAGAAACCCGCAGAAGGUACACUGCUUUGGUCUGUUUCUUUUCUUGUUUUUCGUUGUUUUCCUCCGCUUGCGGUCUUCCACGCGCACAAAAAUACCUCACAGGUCAGGGCUUCACCAAAUCGCACGUCGGGAGGAACUCGGCCGUCACGCUGAACUCAGAGAUGCCUCCGUGGGUGCGUGAGGGGUCUCGGCCUCCACGCGGGCCAGACUCCUGCGGGUCAGGGCGCUGUGAUCUCAGCGGAAGGUCAGCUGAGAGUGGAUCCAGUUGAAUGUGGGUGCUGUUGCCGGACGCAUUUCAUCAUGUCGGUUCCCCGGGGUGGCGAGGGGCUAAGGGAGGGCCGCACCCGGGCAGGAUUUCAGGGCCACCUGUGCGCUGACGUGUCACAGUCCCGAGGCCAGACGUCAGUACGCCCGGUAUUUCAAUGAAGAGGCGGUGUAAAAGACUUAAAAAAGGAGGUUGCCUGCCGUUCGCCCUCUCGGCCCAUGGGGAGGGCCCCCUGGCCUCGGUGUUGUUGCCGGAGGUCGGGGGUCACGUCACUGCUGCCAGCUGGUCUGGGAGUAUUGCCCUGGCACCCGCUCACCACCGCCUCCCCGCCUCGCACCCAGGGCAGCAGGGGCCACGGAGGGCGGUCACCGGAGCCCGAGGCCCACGGGACUCGCAGACUUUACAGUGGGCCCGGCUCCACUUCUGCACCGUGUUUUGACCCGUUUCGGGGGCAGUUGCUACAGGAGGCACAGAAUGGACACCGUGAGUUGCCUCCUAUGUUUAUUCAGUUCGUUCUGCUAGAAUCCUUUGGCCAGAUGUCCCUUCAGCCCAGGCUGCGUGCUCUCAUCGAUCCCAUCCCACAGGCCGAGCCUCCAGAAGCCUGGCGCCGCGUGGGGCCGGGGGUGGGGAGAGAACCCCUCUCUUCCCAGCUGGGCCCGGGGAGCCAGCCGACGUGUCUCGUCUUUGCCAACCGAGGAACGUCUCUGGCCUUGCUGACGCCCCUUUGCUCUGAUUGCAAGUCGGGCAGAAAGCGAAGAAAACUGCCUGAGAGCGACCGUCAAAAGCAGGGAUUUGUGUGCAAAGUGGGUAACUAGUGCUCCGGUGCAAACCUCGCUCAGCCGAAUCCACCGAGGUUGUGCUGUUGAGUCCUGGGCGGCGAAUGCAGUAAGGAGUUCAGAUCACCGUCACCCGCCGCCAUCACCCUGUGGCCAUGGGCUGCAGUCACACUCACACAAGGAAAAAUGUCAGGACCUGAGAGAAUGAUUUGGAACCCCCCCCCCCCCCAUCCUUGGCAGGCUGGUUUGUGCGGGCCAUUUCCCGUGCGUGGGGAAGUCUGGCAGCCGUGAUGCCUGCCGGUUCCCUCGAAACCACGUGUGCAAGACUUGACCCCCAAAUCAGCCUUGUUGCUGGAUGCAACUGUCACGGCUCUGUCCGCCUUUGUGCCAGGAAUACGUUCUAACUUCCAGGUGAUUUGAAGUCAGUCUUAAAAGUAAUAGACUAAAAUGAGUAAAAUACAGUAGCUAUUUGUUCUGAGCCGGAGCUGGACAGGUGUGGGAAAUUUCCGUAUAGUGUAUGAAAAUUUCACCGUGCAGGGAAAUGAUUUUCCACUGUAUCUCGUCUUCUACGAUAAAAAAAAAUACUCAAAAUUGUACUGUCGCUGUAAGAUGAUUCAAAAUAUUGUUACUGCAAAAUCCUUCUUCAAAAUUGUACUGUUGCUGUAAGAUGAUUCAAGAUAUUGUUACUGCAGAAUCCUUCUUCAAAAUUGUCGCUGUAAAAUGAUUCAAAAUAUCAUGACAAUAAAUUGCAUCAAUUUGUAGCCUAUUAAAGUGCCCUCCAACAUGA